GGUCAGGAUAGCUCAGUUGGUAGAGCAGAG
This 30-nucleotide transfer RNA is filed under the name Aristida superpendens. RNAcentral describes it as "partial tRNA-Phe". The record is from RNAcentral. Lineage: Eukaryota; Viridiplantae; Streptophyta; Magnoliopsida; Poales; Poaceae.